This 1414-nucleotide long non-coding RNA is filed under the name Anser brachyrhynchus (Pink-footed goose). RNAcentral's name for it is "lncRNA (ENSABRG00000007363.1)". Lineage: Eukaryota; Metazoa; Chordata; Aves; Anseriformes; Anatidae. The record is from RNAcentral.
AAAUUUUUUCAGUCCAAGAGACUGAAAAUGCCUGAACUUGUGAUUCCUUAGAUGACCCAGAAAGAAUGUGGGUCUACGUGUAUCUUUGCAGGGUAGGUGAUGUGGAGAAAACAGAAGGGGACCUAUAUCUGAUUUACACCUGCUGCUUUGUGAUGAGAGCACUUUGUUCUAGAGACUGUAAAGAAUUCAUCUGGCUUGCACAAGUGGCUAUCUUUGUUCCUAUGGCCGCACACAAGGUGGUUGUGUAUCGCGUUACUGGCAGUCAGGACUCUUCGAAACAGCCUUUAUCUGCCCAUUUGCUUUUGAUACAGUUGUUCGCAGCACUGUGGUGAUAAGUGGAGAACAAACAUGUGGAACCGGUACGGUUAAGAAAACACGCAGGGCCUGGGAGGCUGCUUGAAUGCAAGUCUGCCCGCAGCAGCAUCUGGCUCUCACCUGAGCAACGUUUUCUAGAAUGAACCUCCGAGUGAUAUAGGAGGGCUUCCACAUGCUUCACGCCAGAGUUUCUCAUCAGCAUAGAUCCUUGCAUGAAGCUAAGUAGAAGGAAGAGGAAAAAGUCUAUGCUAAAGUUCUCCAUAUGCUGUAAUGAGAUACCUACAGUUAUGUAGAGGGGGGAAAAAAGCUUUGAAAAAUGAAGAAUGAUUACACUGUCACCAGCAGUUGUUUCCUUCUAACCUCAGGGAUGGAGGCGGUCUAAUGACCCCCUAAUGUCUUCAGUAAUCUACUGAAAUAUGUCAAUAGUAUACAGAGAUAUUGCAGAACCGAUUUACCAUUGUUUAAGUGCACUGUGGGACAGUAAGAAGUUCACAAAGCUAUUUUUUUUGAUUGCUUUCUGUUUAAUCCCCAGGGAGAAACUUCCAUGACCUGCAUCUGCAGUGGGUAUAAUACUUUGUUAUAACACAUCGUAUUCAUAUUUUUGAGUCUGUACAGAUAAAUAUUUUAGGAAGCAUAACUAAGGAAGUUGAAUAUUUUUUCUUGUCCACAAGGGACUCUUUGGCCUCUGGAGAGGAUGCUUCCUGGGUUAAAAAUGAGACAUUCUUUGGUUAUAUUUGGCUAAUGUUCAUUGCAUAGACUCUGUGACUUGCUUAUGAAUUAGCAUGAAAAUUAAUCUCCUUCUUAAGAGGAUAUAUAGAUUAGGGGAAGCUUGAGAGAUUAUUAUAUCCUGUUUGAGAACAUACCAAUUGAAUAGAGCUUAAUAUUAUUCAUCACCAUACAUUUCUAUCUGGCAUUAGCAUAAUAUACCUGUAUAGUAACUUAAGAAUCUAUUACUUUAUUACUGAAGAGCAUUCACAUGUUUACUGCAAUGUUUCAAACCGUCACUUUUAGCUGUGGGUAAAAGUACAAUUUAAUGCAGUUGUAUUUUUGACUGAAGGCAGAUGAAUAUAUUGCUAAUAAAGUCUGUUGUACCAGUGCA